Molecule: ribosomal RNA, 452 nt
Filed under: uncultured bacterium
Lineage: Bacteria
Description: partial 16S ribosomal RNA
Rfam family: Bacterial small subunit ribosomal RNA
Source: RNAcentral
GAUGAACGCUGGUGGCGUGCCUAACACAUGCAAGUCGAGCGAUUCUCUUCGGAGAAGAGCGGCGGACGGGUGAGUAACGCGGGGGUAACCUGCCCUGUACACACGGAUAACAUACCGAAAGGUAUGCUAAUACGAGAUAACAUGCUUUUAUCGCAUGGUAGAAGUAUCAAAGCUUUUGCGGUACAGGAUGGACCCGCGUCUGAUUAGCUAGUUGGUGAGGUAACGGCUCACCAAGGCGACGAUCAGUAGCCGACCUGAGAGGGUGAUCGGCCACAUUGGAACUGAGACACGGUCCAAACUCCUACGGGAGGCAGCAGUGGGGAAUAUUGCACAAUGGGCGAAAGCCUGAUGCAGCAACGCCGCGUGAGCGAUGAAGGCCUUCGGGUCGUAAAGCUCUGUCCUCAAGGAAGAUAAUGACGGUACUUGAGGAGGAAGCCCCGGCUAACUACGUG